This 450-nucleotide ribosomal RNA is filed under the name uncultured bacterium. RNAcentral describes it as "partial 16S ribosomal RNA". It matches the Rfam family "Bacterial small subunit ribosomal RNA", at positions 354 to 796 of the family's 1533-position model. The record is from RNAcentral.
GUGGGGAAUAUUGGACAAUGGGCGAAAGCCUGAUCCAGCCAUGCCGCGUGUGUGAAGAAGGUCUUCGGAUUGUAAAGCACUUUAAGUUGGGAGGAAGGGCAGUAAGUUAAUACCUUGCUGUUUUGACGUUACCAACAGAAUAAGCACCGGCUAACUUCGUGCCAGCAGCCGCGGUAAUACGAAGGGUGCAAGCGUUAAUCGGAAUUACUGGGCGUAAAGCGCGCGUAGGUGGUUUUGUAAGUUGGAGGUGAAAUCCCCGAGCUCAACCUGGGAACUGCCUCCAAAACUGCAUGACUAGAGUACGGUAGAGGGUAGUGGAAUUUCCUGUGUAGCGGUGAAAUGCGUAGAUAUAGGAAGGAACACCAGUGGCGAAGGCGACUACCUGGACUGAUACUGACACUGAGGUGCGAAAGCGUGGGGAGCAAACAGGAUUAGAAACCCCUGUAGUCC